UAAAUAUUGAUUUUUCUCAAUUUUAAAUGUCAUAACUUUUUCAAUUCUUAUCAAAAUUUAUAAACUUGGUAUCAAAAUAAAGGUCUUAAAAAGGGGAAUAAGGAUACAUAAAAGACAUAUCCGGGGCAUUAGAAAGGGGUCUAUAACACUCUUUAAUAUAUUUAAAGUCUAGGUUUUUUUUAAAGAAAAUUUAAAUUUUUUAUUUUAUUUUUUAUGCUUUAUAUUAUUUUGUAUCUACCAUUCAAUAUUAUUUAUAUCAUAAUAUACAUUUAAACAUUAUUAAUAUUUGAAUGUUUAUUAUGAUACGCCCUUACCCAAUUAUCUGAGUGUAUAGCGGAACUCAAAUCAAAAAUAGGUACCUAUUUUGGGUAAGUUAGUAGGGUGUCUGGUCGAGCUUUUUUUUUUUCAUGAAAUUUGGCAGGUAGCAAGAAAAAAGGUUUUUGCAAAAAUCUGAAUAUAUUAGAAAAUAGUCUCAAUAUUCCUUCAAUACAUACCUAAUGCACAAGCAACAAGGAAGUUUUAAACAACGAUAAAUUCAUUAUAAACAAAAUUUUACAAAGAAGAUUUCCAUGCUGAAUUAAAGUUCUAACUAUUCUAAUACUCAAAAAAAAUGUUGAUACAAAUUUGUAAAAAAAGAACACAGCAAAACAUGUUCAUACCCAGCCACUCUUAAAAAUACUAAAAAAAGUGUGGCAUAAAGUUUGGACAAAGAAAACGGUUCUGUUAAAGUCGGAAUUACAUGUACCUAACAAUAAUGGUUUAGGGAUAAAGAAAAAUUGCUUAGUAAAUUUGUUCGGAAACAACAUUAAAAAGAGUGCAGUCUUGAGAAGAAGAAAAAAGGGUUUAAAUCUGAUUUAAUGACUAAUAGUUGAAUUGAUACAUAGGUAUUAGAGUGACAACAUUCUUAUAGUAUAAAAACACUGAAAUAAACAUUUAUUUUUGAUUUUACUUCAACAACCUCACCCAGGACCUAGAAAAAACUGUCUUGGAAAUAUUGUGACAGUCAAAUUUGGAUAAAGUUUUAUUUUUGACUAUAAUAUAUAAUAAAACACACUUCAAAAUUGAAUAAUAAAAUAAUAAAAUACAAUCACUUGUUUGAUAUUAUAAACUUCAAAUUAAUUUUUUCAGCACUUUUACACUUUAUUUCUUGCAUGAUUUCAAUUGCUUUUUCUAUACAAGUGUAUUUCUUUGUGUUUGAAUUGCUGUAUUGUGUCUAUUCUGAUGUUUCCUAAAAAUUGUUUGUGAUUUUUCUUUUUCUUUGAACCGUUGUCCAAUUUCUCAUAAUUCUUUUUGUUAUAAAAAUGGUCACUGAACCAAACAUUAAACCAAGUUUCACAAGUCAAUUCACAAAUUUCAGUCAUGUUUUUCUGGAAGUAGCAGAAAAGCAAAUAAAGAAAUGCUCUAGAGUUCCAGCUUGCAUUACUUUUAUUAAGUAAUGCUUUAAAAGUAAUAAAGAUAAAUAACCCAUGUUCUUGGUAAUAUCGAUAAAGAUUUCCCAACUCAUAUAAAAACUGAGUAUUGAUUUGCCAUUUGUUGUUUUUAAAUUUUAUUUUUACAUCACUUUGUUGAAAGUCAUUUCUAAGAUUUGCAUAGUUGUCAUUGACUAUAUGGUAUCACAGAUUGUAACUGUAAUGCUUUCCCACAAAUGGUAUAGGUAUAACACCUCAGUUAUUCCAUUAAAUAUUGUUAAUGCUUUUUCAUUACUAAGAGUUAUUGUAGCUAGGCGAACUUCAUGGAGCUGUUUUUUUAAUACUAUAACUUGCAUUUCUUCCUCGUUAAUUUUCUUACCAUCAAAAUGCAGAGCCCAAUUUUUAUUUUUAAGAGUUUCUUUUAAGUUCUGCUGCGUUUUCUGUAAUUCUCUAACAAAUGUCUUACAUAUUGCAGAUUGAGUUGGUAUAAUGAUAUCAAUACCUUGGUCAGGUAGUUGUUUACAAACUCUUACUGAUUUAGAGGCACUUAAAUUAUUCAUUUUAACUAGAUGAACUGCAGUUUCUGUAGUGGAAUAUUACUUGGUCUUUCUUUUUUUAGCGUAGGGGUUCAACAGUAUAUUCACAGUCAUCAGUAUCAUCGUCAAAGGUUUCUGAAUACUUUUUAUAUAUUGGAGACAAUUUCAGAUUCUAAAUUUCUAUUUAAAGAAGAUUACAUGCACUACUGCUUGAGAUAUUUCCUUUGUUAACUUUUAAUGGGUGCACUUUAAUGUGUGUUUUUCUUGCAUAGCCAACUACACUUUGUGAUUUAAUCUGCAUUUCAAAAAAUCUUCAGGUACCAAUUAGAUGUACCAAUUAGAUUUAAUCUGCAUUUCAAAAAAUCUUCAGGUACCAAUUAGAUGUCAUCUGUUUUUGUAAUAUCAAACACAUUUUCAAAUUUAACUUGAACACAUUCCUUAUGGUGUUUGAAAAAGUUUCAAAAUUAUGUUUUUUAAUUAAUGCAUUAUUCAACUAUUGCUGCAAUUUCUUUAAUUCAUCAGUAAUCACCUUAUUUCUAACAUUUCUUGAUUUUUUAUCUUUUGGCAUUCUAAAUAAACCACAAUUUCCUUUGUGUGGCACUUUUGGUAUACUGUCAAGUUUUUUCUCCAAGUACCAGAAUUUUUUUUAGAUCUUCUUGCUCUUUAUAUAUGACAUACUCCAUAAAAGGUAACUUGAAAGUAAACACACUGAAAACAACCCCAGACAUGCAACAACUGAAAGCGGAAACAGAUAAUACAACAAUGAACAAAUACUCACAGAGAAUUAAUAGUUUCCAAAGAACUAAAAUUUGGUCGUUUCUAUAGUACUGCACUUCUAACAAAAUAUUCCAAUCUGUGAGGUAUUUCUCAAGGUCAAGUCAUAAUAUUGAAGUUUUUAUGAGUCAAAAACUAAUAGCCAUCAACACUGAGAUUGGAUGCUGGAGUAACCAAAUUAAAUUAGUCUCUUAAAGAGCAAAUCAGUCGGGUGAGUUUUGCAAGACAGGAAUUCCAAUGGAUAAAAGUUACUUUAAAGACAUAUUGUAUUCAGAAAGAGCUGCUUUGUCACUACCAAGGAGGCGCAAGCUAAAGCCAGGCUGGUUAACAGAAAUUUUCUGCUUAUGUCUUUUCCUCGGAGUCCUUCUUUAAAAUAGCAGCCAAAUGCAGUUGACAUUAACCCAAGAUAAUUAUUUUUAUCAAGACACCAUUUCAAGCUUUUACUCAACCAAGAACUCCAAGGCACUGAGUAUUUUAAGCCAGAGGUAACUUUUCCUAACAUUUGUUUAGAAAAAUAAAUCCUACAAGGCAGUAGGGCAUAAGAAAAGUAGUACUAGAUUGCAAGUUACCAACAGCAGAGUGACCAUGACGAUCCUAAUCCUGACCUGACCCGGAUAAAAUAGCUGAGAAGAUAUGACUGAAAAAAAUUACUUUAACUUAUUAUGGGAACAUAUUACUGAAGUUAAUUUUUUUUUUUUAAUUGAAUUUUUUUACAAUAUAAAGUUUUUUUUUAUUAUUUGUAUUGAUUUUAGAUUAUUUUUAAUAUUUAAUUUAAAAAUAUUUCU
Non-coding RNA from Hydra vulgaris (swiftwater hydra), 3504 nucleotides. The record is from RefSeq and is a predicted model, not a curated record. NCBI's taxonomy places the organism in Eukaryota, Metazoa, Cnidaria, Hydrozoa, Anthoathecata, Hydridae.